This 496-nucleotide ribosomal RNA is filed under the name uncultured bacterium. RNAcentral describes it as "partial 16S ribosomal RNA". It matches the Rfam family "Bacterial small subunit ribosomal RNA", at positions 28 to 506 of the family's 1533-position model. The record is from RNAcentral.
GAUGAACGCUGGCGGCGUGCCUAAUACAUGCAAGUCGAGCGAACAGACGAGGAGCUUACUCCUCUGACGUUAGCGGCGGACGGGUGAGUAACACGUGGAUAACCUACCUAUAAGACUGGGAUAACUUCGGGAAACCGGAGCUAAUACCGGAUAACAUGUUGAACCGCAUGGUUCAACAGUGAAAGACGGUCUUGCUGUCACUUAUAGAUGGAUCCGCGUCGCAUUAGCUAGUUGGUAAGGUAACGGCUUACCAAGGCAACGAUGCGUAGCCGACCUGAGAGGGUGAUCGGCCACACUGGAACUGAGACACGGUCCAGACUCCUACGGGAGGCAGCAGUAGGGAAUCUUCCGCAAUGGGCGAAAGCCUGACGGAGCAACGCCGCGUGAGUGAAGAAGGUCUUCGGAUCGUAAAACUCUGUUAUUAGGGAAGAACAAAUGUGUAAGUAACUAUGCACGUCUUGUCGGUACCUAAUCAGAAAGCCACGGCUAACUACGU